This 448-nucleotide long non-coding RNA is filed under the name Danio rerio (zebrafish). RNAcentral's name for it is "lncRNA si:dkey-8o15.2 (ENSDARG00000104692.2)". Lineage: Eukaryota; Metazoa; Chordata; Actinopteri; Cypriniformes; Danionidae. The record is from RNAcentral.
CUGACAGCCCGAGGCGCCGCCGACCGUCAAACUUCACCCCGGGACAAAAAGAGAGCGAACCAUGGACAAAGAAGACAAAACAGCAUAAAAGUCACAUAAGGACAUGUGCUGUGGAUUCUAUCUGCAUAUUUGUCAGCUGGUCUUUGAUCCAGUAGGUGGCAGCACAUCUUUUGAAGGCCUUAAGCACCUGUCAUCAUCCUGAACUCCAGUAGGCCUAUCACACUGUCUCAUUCCAUCGAUUCUGCCUCUUCUCCUCCCUCGUGCCCCUUUCAGCCCUCCUGGAGUCCCCAGGGCCACUCGGCCUCCAUGGAGAGCAGGGAGAGGGAUGCGGGACCCUCGCCCAGGAGAUUUGCCUCAAUAAUGGGAACGUGACGAAGGAUCCCGUGCCUGCACUGGGUUUUCAUGAUGUCUCAACUCUCACAGACCUGUGCUCCAGUGUGGAUCUACC